Molecule: long non-coding RNA, 1111 nt
Filed under: Anolis carolinensis (green anole)
Lineage: Eukaryota; Metazoa; Chordata; Lepidosauria; Squamata; Anolidae
Description: lncRNA (ENSACAG00000039671.1)
Source: RNAcentral
GUCCUAAGAAUGACUGCAGUGAAAUUGUGACUUCUGGUGAGUUUUUUUAAAAUGUGCUGUUUCUGUCUUAAUGUGUGUUACAGUGUUCAUAAGUAAAGCCAUCGAAUAAUAAUAAUAACGAUAACAACAACUACUACUACUACUUUAUUCUUAUACCCUGCCAUCAACGGGAUGGGGUGGCUUACAUAUGGGACAAAAUGCCCAUAGACACAAAUGCAAACAAUCCAUCAAAGCAAAAAGCAUAAGUUAACAUAAAAACAUCAUUAAAAAUAACAACAAUUAAUGUGGAAUCAUAGUGCUAUAAUUCGAUAGUAUGAAUGGACCCCAGGAUUUACAGGGGGAUCUAUGAGCCCCAUUAAGGUUGCUGAUUUGCUUGCAUACUUCUAUCCUAUCUUUUUCACAACCAGAGGUCAAAUGUUCGUCAGCCUUACAUUACGGGAAAGAUUCUGACUAGGUAAGCAAUUCAUCAAUAGAAGAAAUUGACUGACUUGAAGGGAGCAUUUGGAAUUCUCAUUCACUUUCGAGGCAAAGAUUGAAGGUGGUUAUGUCAGCAGCGCUAUAAAUGUGAGCUACCACAUUUUAGGGCAGGUGACUGAUCGCCCUAUUACUCUAGGCUAGGAAGGAAAAUUGACAUCUUGAUUUUCUCAGCUAGUAAAGGACUUGGUAGAGAUUUAAUUAGCCUUUCGCAAAAAGAAUGCUUCAUGUCUUGUCCCAAUUAAUAGCUUGGUGUUAAGGUUGCCAACAUCUGGAGUUAAUUAAAGGAUGCUCUUUCAUUUUUAAUGGCUUUGUAAAAGGGGCCAAUUCAACAGGCUCAUUUUUCGCCAUGAUUACACCACCAAAUGGGAGAAGGUGCAGUGCUGAAAUUCUCUCGGUAAUUGAAAGAACACGGGUCCAUUGCAAUGAGAAGUUGGUAGCUAAUGCCCAUGCCACCUCACAUAGGUAUGAACUCUCUGCAAUGCUAGUCAUUUGGGCACUGAAGGAAAAUUUCAUGGAGAAGGCAAGAAUUCGUAUUUGGGGGAGUAACACCGCCAUCCCACCACCUGUAACCACAUGCCUGGUAGCAGACCGUUAUAAUAGUUUUGAUGACUUGCUCACAUCCAGUGAUUUAUAG